RNAcentral lists this transfer RNA (90 nucleotides) under bacterium. RNAcentral's name for it is "tRNA-Ser". It matches the Rfam family "tRNA". From Rfam's summary of the family: Transfer RNA (tRNA) molecules are approximately 80 nucleotides in length. Their secondary structure includes four short double-helical elements and three loops (D, anti-codon, and T loops). The record is from RNAcentral.
GGAGAGAUGGCCGAGUGGCUGAAGGCACCGCCUUGCUAAGGCGGCAUACGGGAAACUGUAUCGAGGGUUCGAAUCCCUCUCUCUCCGCCA